CAGCAGCCGCCACGGUAAUACGUAGGGUGCAAGCGUUAAUCGGAAUUACUGGGCGUAAAGCGUGCGCAGGCGGUUAUAUAAGACAGAUGUGAAAUCCCCGGGCUCAACCUGGGAACUGCAUUUGUGACUGUAUAGCUAGAGUACGGCAGAGGGGGAUGGAAUUCCGCGUGUAGCAGUGAAAUGCGUAGAUAUGCGGAGGAACACCGAUGGCGAAGGCAAUCCCCUGGGCCUGUACUGACGCUCAUGCACGAAAGCGUGGGGAGCAAACAGGAUUAGAUACCCCGGUAGUCCCUGUCUCUUU
RNAcentral lists this ribosomal RNA (301 nucleotides) under uncultured bacterium. RNAcentral describes it as "partial 16S ribosomal RNA". It matches the Rfam family "Bacterial small subunit ribosomal RNA", at positions 509 to 806 of the family's 1533-position model. The record is from RNAcentral.